Molecule: ribosomal RNA, 380 nt
Filed under: Rhampholeon sp. 1 JM-2013
Lineage: Eukaryota; Metazoa; Chordata; Lepidosauria; Squamata; Chamaeleonidae
Description: partial 12S ribosomal RNA
Source: RNAcentral
AGUAACCUUAUUUUGUUAACCCUAAACACCCGAUAUUCUUUACCCGCCAGAGAACAACGAGCUAGCGCUUAAAAYUCAAAGGACUUGGCGGCACUCCAUACCMCCCUAGAGGGGCCUGUCACAUAAUCGAUAACCCACGAUACACCUCACCCCCUUACCCCCCCACCGCCUAUAUACCGCCGUCGUCAGCCCAUCUUGAUAAGGGGACCAAAAUGGGCCCAACAGUCUCACUGCACUAAUACGACAGGUCAAGGUGUAGCCAAUAAGGCGGCGAAUGACGGACCACAUUGCCCACAAGGCCAAACCAAGGUUGUAAUGAAACACACAUUUUAAGGUGAAUUUAACAGUAAGGCGGGCAAGAAAACCCGCCUAAAGGUGGA